Long non-coding RNA from Salvelinus fontinalis (brook trout), 147 nucleotides. RefSeq lists it as uncharacterized. The record is from RefSeq and is a predicted model, not a curated record. Lineage: Eukaryota; Metazoa; Chordata; Actinopteri; Salmoniformes; Salmonidae. The transcript is spliced from 3 exons.
ACAGGCCAGGUUAUUGAGACGGGUAACAGGCCAGGUUAAUGAGACGGGUAACAGGCCAGGUUAAUGAGACGGGUAACAGGCCAGGUUAGUGAGACGGGUAACAGGACAGGUUAGUGAGACGGGUAACAGGACAGGUUAGUGAGACGG